UAGGUUACCAGAAACACGACGCCAAAUCUGUGAUAAUGUUGCUCUGAAAGUGCUUUACAUGUCCGCGGUAUUAUAAUCACGUGUUUUUCGCUGCUUCUGCUUCUUCUUCUUCUUCCUCCUCCUCCUCCUCCUAUGUUGUUCAAUGGCGGUUGUCAAAGAGCUUUAGGCGCAUUACCGCCACAAACGCAUUUUCGCUGCCCCUAGUGGCAAAAUACAAAUCUGUGGCAAAAAAAUGCGUUAAUUUCCGCUUUAACUAGCUUUUACUGUUGCAAUCCAAUCUAGUGAAUCAGUAGUUUGAAACUAUAGGUAGUUAAUACAGAGAGCUAAAGGACUUAGAAUAAUAAAUUUACAAUCAAUUCAGGUCCUAAACUUUGGGACUGAGCCCUAUCACAAGGAUAUGUUCUUUACCAAAUUUGACACCAUUUCAGUUUAAAUAGCCAGUUAUUAAACUGAAUACUUUGUAUACUGCCAUUUCUGCAGUAGUCACUUCACUACACAACAACAACAGAAAUCUGUGAUGCAGUCGAACACAAGGAGGGCCUAAUGACGCUCUCCAAGGACGGCGGUCUUGAGGAGGAGAGGGGGGCUGACUUACAGGGAAGAAGCGCCCGAAAUGCCACAGAGGAGAGAUAGCUAAGAAAAGGGAGAGAGAAUGGUGUCCCCACUAGAGAGAUGAACACACUUCCAGGAAAUAGGAAACCAACCCAAGUAAUGAGAUAUA
This is a long non-coding RNA of Monopterus albus (swamp eel), 721 nucleotides long. RefSeq lists it as uncharacterized. The record is from RefSeq and is a predicted model, not a curated record. NCBI's taxonomy places the organism in Eukaryota, Metazoa, Chordata, Actinopteri, Synbranchiformes, Synbranchidae. The transcript is spliced from 3 exons.